UACGGAGGGAGCUAGCGUUAUCCGGAAUUACUGGGCGUAAAGGGUGCGUAGGUGGUUUUCUAAGUCAUCUGUGAAAUACUCGGGCUUAACCCGGGUGCUGCGGAUGAUACUGGAAAGCUAGAGUAGGGUAGAGGAGAGUGGAAUUUCCGGUGUAGCGGUGAAAUGCGUAGAUAUCGGAAGGAACACCAGUGGCGAAGGCGGCUCUCUGGACUCAUACUGACACUGAGGCACGAAAGCGUGGGGAGCAAACAGG
Molecule: ribosomal RNA, 253 nt
Filed under: uncultured bacterium
Lineage: Bacteria
Description: partial 16S ribosomal RNA
Rfam family: Bacterial small subunit ribosomal RNA
Source: RNAcentral